UACGUAGGGGGCUAGCGUUAUCCGGAAUUACUGGGCGUAAAGCGCGCGCAGGCGGUCUUCCAAGUCAGUGGUGAAAGCCCGGAGCUCAACUCCGGAACUGCCAUUGAAACUGUUGGACUUGAGUACGAGAGAGGUGAGUGGAAUUCCCAGUGUAGAGGUGAAAUUCGUAGAUACUGGGAAGAACACCGGUGGCGAAGGCGGCUCACUGGCUCGUAACUGACGCUCAGGCGCGACAGCGUGGGGAUCAAACAGG
Molecule: ribosomal RNA, 253 nt
Filed under: uncultured bacterium
Lineage: Bacteria
Description: partial 16S ribosomal RNA
Rfam family: Bacterial small subunit ribosomal RNA
Source: RNAcentral